RNAcentral lists this long non-coding RNA (224 nucleotides) under Gallus gallus (chicken). Lineage: Eukaryota; Metazoa; Chordata; Aves; Galliformes; Phasianidae. The record is from RNAcentral.
ACCUCUUCUCAUCAGUGCUGAACACAGAUAAAGAAAGAGCUGGGCUUUCCUGCUGCAUGUUGAGAAAAGGGAAGAGGAAAUAACAGCAAAGCAGUAAGCCAAGUGCAGAGGAGCCUUGACCAGGUCCUCAAAGGCCAGGGGCAAAAGCCUGCUCUGAGAUGCCUAUACCAAUGUGUUUGUUCACCCUGUGCCUCUCCACGAAGUUAAACCAAAACAUCCCCAUG